AGUGAACGCUGGCGGUAGGCCUAACACAUGCAAGUCGAACGGCAGCACAGUAAGAGCUUGCUCUUACGGGUGGCGAGUGGCGGACGGGUGAGGAAUACAUCGGAAUCUACUUUUUCGUGGGGGAUAACGUAGGGAAACUUACGCUAAUACCGCAUACGACCUACGGGUGAAAGCAGGGGAUCUUCGGACCUUGCGCGAUUGAAUGAGCCGAUGUCGGAUUAGCUAGUUGGCGGGGUAAAGGCCCACCAAGGCGACGAUCCGUAGCUGGUCUGAGAGGGUGAUCAGCCACACUGGAACUGAGACACGGUCCAGACUCCUACGGGAGGCAGCAGUGGGGAAUAUUGGACAAAGGGCGCAAGCCUGAUCCAGCCAUACCGCGUGGGUGAAGAAGGCCUUCGGGUUGUAAAGCCCUUUUGUUGGGAAAGAAAAGCAGCAGGUUAAUACCCCGCUGUUCUGACGGUACCCAAAGAAUAAGCACCGGCUAACUCCGUG
This 492-nucleotide ribosomal RNA is filed under the name uncultured bacterium. RNAcentral describes it as "partial 16S ribosomal RNA". It matches the Rfam family "Bacterial small subunit ribosomal RNA", at positions 29 to 507 of the family's 1533-position model. The record is from RNAcentral.